UACGGGGGGGGCAAGCGUUGUUCGGAAUUACGGGGCGGAAAGGGCUCGUAGGUGGCCAACUAAGUCAGACGUGAAAUCCCUCAGCUUAACUGGGGAACUGCGUCUGAUACUGGAUGGCUUGAGAUUGGGAGAGGGAUGCGGAAUUCCAGGUGUAGCGGUGAAAUGCGUAGAUAUCUGGAGGAACACCGGUGGCGAAGGCGGCAUCCUGGACCAACACUGACACUGAGGAGCGAAAGCCAGGGGAGCAAACGGG
This 253-nucleotide ribosomal RNA is filed under the name uncultured bacterium. Its description in RNAcentral is "partial 16S ribosomal RNA". It matches the Rfam family "Bacterial small subunit ribosomal RNA", at positions 524 to 776 of the family's 1533-position model. The record is from RNAcentral.